UUUUGAAAGGGAAACGAUUGAAGUCAGUCGUGCUGGCGCGAAAUCAACCCUCUCGUCUUGAGAUCACAUGGCGCGACGAGCCUCAAAACCGUCACGAAGCGUGAACUCUUGACGAAAAGGUGCACUUUCGUGUCCGCUGGUUAACAUCAAUUUCGAACGUCAUAAAAAGGCUGGAGGGAUGUGGCUCCUUCGGGAGUGUUAUAACCUUUAGCGGAAUGUGGUGUUCGGGAUUGAGGAUUGCAACGAAUACCUUCAGGGCUGUUCCACCUGGCUUCUCAUUGGUAUCCUGGUGACGACAGCUUGCUGACGUCGUUAGGAUCAGCUCUGAAAGGCUAAGUGUGACAAAUUCGUUAA
RNAcentral lists this ribosomal RNA (354 nucleotides) under Entrophospora infrequens. Its description in RNAcentral is "eukaryotic LSU rRNA". Lineage: Eukaryota; Fungi; Glomeromycota; Glomeromycetes; Entrophosporales; Entrophosporaceae. The record is from RNAcentral.